Dendrobium catenatum is the source of this 548-nucleotide long non-coding RNA. RefSeq lists it as uncharacterized. The transcript has 3 exons. The record is from RefSeq and is a predicted model, not a curated record. NCBI's taxonomy places the organism in Eukaryota, Viridiplantae, Streptophyta, Magnoliopsida, Asparagales, Orchidaceae.
CAGCUAGACAACUGUCAGGAAAGAAGACAUGAUGUCAAGUGAGCUUCAAGGUGCAAUUGCUCGGCUUUUCUUACACAAAUUUUCUAACCUGAUUAACUAGAAUCAGAGUUAUCAAGGGAAGCUACAGCUGAUGGAGGAGCUCAAUUUGUUGGAUAGGUUCUCUUAUGUCCCCCGGAUGGUUUUGGAGCUCCACUAGGGCUUUGCCCUAGCCGCCGCCUAUCCGUCUGACAGCAAAAUUAUGGCUCCUCCUUUCAGUUUUUUAAGGUGAAGUGGCAUUCUCGUUCAUUUUUGGAUGUUUUUUUCGAUGAUCUGAUAGAUCAUUUGGGUGUUGAUUCGAAUGCUAAGGAUGUGGUUCACAGUAAAUGGCUUGUUGGUGACGAUUCCUUAGCUCUUGAAAAUGAUGGAGAGGAUUUUCAUGAGCCAGAGGACGAUUCUUUGGAAUUAUAUGGAUUAGAUGUUAUUCACAUUGUUGUGAUGAUUCUUUCAAGAAGGAUGGUAAAAGGAGGAGAAAAAACAAAAAGAAAUAAUUUCUUUUGAGUGCUUUCUUC